AGCAGUUUCCCUUUUUCACGGUCAGGCCACGUGAAGAUGGCUUCGUCACUGUCCAGCUCCGACUCUGAGUGCAUCAGGCUAGUGUUGAGGACCUGGGCUUUCUGCCUGCCACCUGCUUUGGGAUUUGGUUUUAACUCCAGGCUUUCUUGAUCCGUUGCAUCCAAGAUCUUGUAUUUGCUUUUUCUUUUGGAUUUUCCUUUUCGUCUCUUGCAACAGCAGAUCACCAUCCAGGAUAAGAUUCCAAAGGCAACCACAAUGACGAAAGAUGCAAUGAUCACAUACAGCACACUCCACUCACAGUUACUUUCGCCAUCCC
RNAcentral lists this long non-coding RNA (316 nucleotides) under Gallus gallus (chicken). The record is from RNAcentral. Lineage: Eukaryota; Metazoa; Chordata; Aves; Galliformes; Phasianidae.